This 256-nucleotide ribosomal RNA is filed under the name uncultured bacterium. RNAcentral describes it as "partial 16S ribosomal RNA". It matches the Rfam family "Bacterial small subunit ribosomal RNA", at positions 521 to 776 of the family's 1533-position model. The record is from RNAcentral.
UAAUACGGAGGGUGCAAGCGUUAUCCGGAUUCACUGGGUUUAAAGGGUGCGUAGGUGGGUCUGUAAGUCAGUGGUGAAAUCUCCGAGCUUAACUCGGAAACUGCCGUUGAUACUAUAGGUCUUGAAUCAUCUGGAGGUAAGCGGAAUAUGUCAUGUAGCGGUGAAAUGCUUAGAUAUGACAUAGAACACCAAUUGCGAAGGCAGCUUACUACGGAUGCAUUGACACUGAGGCACGAAAGCGUGGGGAUCAAACAGG